CAUUAUCUAUUUGCUUAGAGGCUAGUCAUGUGCUUAAAGUGAGAGGAGCGAGGGGGAUUAGGGAGUGAUUACUCUUUUCUCUUGAUUUCUUCAUCUUUAGUGGGUGGAUGAAGGGAGGAGGCUAGUCCUCAUCUUGUAUAGAAGAGGUUCUCGUGAUUUAGCUUUAUUUGUUGUCUCAAAUCGUGCUAAAUCUUUAAUUCCCGAGCGUUUUUCUUUUUCCCUAUUUUCGGAACUAUUUUUGGAGAAUUUUCGUUCAUCAUGUUUGAGCCCGAAUCUCGUGAGAUUGGUUGAAGGGAAAUGUUACUAGGACCUUGGAGAGCAUUCGUGAUAUGAUCCCCUUUCAAAUCCCUCACGAAUCCGGUUUGAUUUUGAGUUUUUCCCAAAUCGCGUUCUUGAGUUAGGGUUUCGGUUUUCUCCAAAAUCCGUGAUGGAUACUUGAGCUUUUUGAGAUCUUUUUCAUGGAUCUAUUCGCACUUGUGGUUGCGCAUCUAUAGCUCAAGUUUUGUCUCGAUUCAUGGAAUUUUGAGGGAGUAUUUUUAGUUUGAAGCUUGAGUGGUGUUCUUGGAGUUCUUGUUUUCCCUCUGUCUGUUCGUGCGCAGGAACAGGGAAGCGAGGCAGCGAGCGAGCCAGAGCAGCGAGUAGCACGUGCACGCGGGCCAGCUACAGCAGGCCCAGCAAGGCGGCCCAGCAGGUAGAUAGGUGCAGCAGUGCACUAGGCCCAGCUUCGCCAGGUAGCAGCCCAGGACGCGAAGCAGGCCAGCUAGCAGGCCAUCUGGGCAUUCGAGCAAAGCAGACCUGCAGGCCCAUGCACGAAGGAAGGCAGGCCAACGCAUGCACCAGGCCUACAGACAUGCGCCAAGCAUUCUUGCUAGAGAGGACUGCUUGGAGCUUAGACAGGAAGCUAGCGACCUUCUUGAGUAUUCUUGAGUAUUCUGUUGCUGCUACGACUGCAAGGCCGCCAACAAAUAGCAAGAUGGAAAAGUCAUCAAAGAUUGUGGUAAAAUGGGAUUCGUUUGCCGCGAAAACUUUCAAUGACAUUUGUGUGGAAGAAGUACUUGCUUUCAAUCGGCCGCAGCAAUGUUUGAAUGCGGUGGGAUAUGCAAACCUUAUUAGAAAGUUUUAUGAGCGUACCAGAGGCCAUACGGUGAGAGUCAAAUGAAGAAUAGGUGGGAUAUAUUGAAAAAAAUGUAUACCCAAUGGAAGACUUUGAACUUGAGAUCAACCGGAUUGGGAAAAGAUCCUGUUACUGGUUGUAUUGUGGCUGACGAUGAAUGGUGGGAAGAACAAAAUAAGGCUAUGCCAGGUUGUAUCCGGUUCAGAACAGCUCCGCUUGAAUAUGAGGAUCAGAUGCGAAUCAUGUUUGAAUCGGUCAUUGUUACAAAUGAAACUUCAUAUGUUCCAAGUGGUGAUGGAAACGUUGAUGUUGAUGAACAUGAUGUUGUUGAUGUUGAGGACACCAAUGAUAGGGAGGCACAUAAGGCCCCAUCCAGUUCUGAGCGGAGGGCUUCAAAAGGCCAGCUCCUAGUUCCCCUAAAGGAAAGAAGAAGAAGACUUUUAGGGACCAGUGCAUGAAGCGGUUGGUCGAUGCAUAUAAGUUGAAAGCUCAAAGUAGUAAACAUUCAGCUACUUCACAGGUUGUUGAUCACGUUAGAGAUGAGAUUGGAAAUAUGUUGGAGCAAGUCAUUAAGGAUGGGGCUGAGGAGGGGAGUGAUGAACACUUCUAUGCCACACAACUUCUUCAAAAAAAGGAGAACCGUGAUGUGUUCAUUACAUUGAAGACACCAAAUGGGAGGUUGAAUUGGCUGAGGAGGGCUUGGGAGAUAAGGAAGAAGCACUAGGGUGUUGCAUUAGUGUGCCAUUUAUCUUUCAUUUGUCUUAUGUUGUGUGAGACAUAAUUUCAAUUUUCUAAGUAUGCUGUGUGAGACUAUGAACCUUCUAUUAGUUGUGUUGUAACAAUAAAAAUUCAUCUGAUGACUUGGUUAGUGCUUUUUGACAGGCUUGCAUUUGUUUUGAUGAGUACCUCUAGUGCAACUAGUGAAUGUGAAGGCAACAGUGAUUCUGUUCAUACCAUGGAUGUUGAUGAAUCUGACGACACUGAUGAUGAUUACAUAGUGGCAAUGCUUGGUCUGGACUACAUGGCAUCAUCUGGUAUGAACAAGAAGAAGAUUACUACUACGAUAGCAAGGAUGACUGGAAUACAGUGGGUUGAGUUACAACUACAAGAUCCAGUGGAGUGCUUUAACAUGUUUAGAAUGAGGAGGUCAGUUUUCUUAAGCCUUCAUGACACUUUGGUUAUGAAGUAUGGAUUGAGAUCAAGUAGACAAUUUUGUAGCAAGGAAGCACUAGGAAUGUUUCUAUGGGCUUGUGGUGCACCUCAAUCUUUUAGGCAAUGCAAGAAUAAUUUCCAUCGCUCAUUAGAAACUGUGAGUAGAAAAUUUGAAGAGGUUCUUGAAUCUAUCAUGAGAUUAGCUGUUGACAUUGUGAGGCCUAAGGAUCCGCAAUUUUCUACUAUUCAUCCUAAACUACAAGAAGCAAGGUUUUGGCCUCAUUUCAAAGAUUGCAUAGGAGCAAUUGAUGGUACCCAUAUACCCGUAACUGUGCCAUUAGCUGAUCAACCGAAAUACAUUGGUCGGCAUGGGUAUCCUUCACAAAACGUCAUGGCGGUUUGUGACUUUGAUAUGCGGUUCACAUUUGCUGUCACUGGUUGGCCUGGUUCUGUCCAUGAUACUCGUGUAUUAUUGGACAUACUUGUCACAUAGAAGGAUCAAUUUCCACAUCCUCCCGAUGGUAAGUACUAUCUUGUUGACUCUGGAUAUCCUAAUAGAAAAGGAUUUCUUGCACCCUACAAGGGACAGAGGUAUCAUGUUUCCGAAUGGCAGCAUGGUCAGCAUCCGGUAGGAUUGAAAGAAGUGUUUAAUCAUGCACAUUCAUCCCUUAGAAAUGUGAUUGAGCGAUCAUUUGGAGUUCUAAAGAUGAAGUGGCGCAUUCUCUUAAAUUUGCCUAGUUAUCCGGUUAACAAGCAGUCGAAAAUUAUAGUUGCUUGUAUGGCCCUUCACAAUUUCAUCAGAGAUAGUGCCGUACAUGACGUGCAUUUUGAAGAGGAUUUUCAGGAAGAUGAUGCUAAUUCAACCCAACCUAGCACAGAUGGUGGUGGUGGUGCUUUAGGAGAUGACAUUGAUAUGGGUGCAUUGCGUGAUGCUAUUGCUGUCGCUAUGGUUUCAUGAUUCGUUGUUGUACCCAUGAUGGAUGUU
Setaria italica (foxtail millet) is the source of this 3251-nucleotide long non-coding RNA. RefSeq lists it as uncharacterized. The record is from RefSeq and is a predicted model, not a curated record. The transcript is spliced from 5 exons. Lineage: Eukaryota; Viridiplantae; Streptophyta; Magnoliopsida; Poales; Poaceae.